Nycticebus coucang (slow loris) is the source of this 4121-nucleotide long non-coding RNA. RefSeq lists it as uncharacterized. The transcript is spliced from 4 exons. The record is from RefSeq and is a predicted model, not a curated record. NCBI's taxonomy places the organism in Eukaryota, Metazoa, Chordata, Mammalia, Primates, Lorisidae.
GCCCCCUGUCGGAGCGUUUCCUCCGGGCUGGGGAAGCCCUUACCCGAUGUGCUUCCCCCUCAGCGCCAAAGUGUCCUGCUUGCUGUACAGCUCGCACAUGGUGACGGGGUGCCGGGCGUCGGAGGUGCAGCCCUUUCCUGUGUGGAAGCCUCACACCAAUCAAUGCUGCUGCUUGAGUAACCUUAGCCUCCCCGUGACUCACUCUGACUGACCUGAAGACCCUGAUGAGGAGAUACAGGUGCAAAACAGAGGCUUUAAUCCACACAGCAAUGAAGGUGCAAGGGGCUGAGUGCAUGGGAGGAGCCAGGAAGGCAAUGGCCCGGUCCUAGGAGGAAGGCAGGCACUGGCCUCCCCUAGGAAACUACAUCUGUGACUCUUGUGGCUCCUGUCCCAGCCUCUGCCCAGACCACCAGCAAGAUCCCGGGUCAAGCCCCUGUGUUGUGCUUCUCAGUGCAUGGGUGUUUGGAUGGAAGUCGGAAUCAGUCUUCAAUUCAAGGUAAGAAGUGACUCCUCGCUUUCUCGAUGGAGCUGUGAGAGGAGAGUGGAGAUGUGGAAAGGAGCACCAGAGAGUAAGAAGUUCUGAGGAAAGACAGCCUUGAAUCGAGUCACUCCUUGGAACAUCUCCUAUGACCUGAAGCAGCAAGGCACCUUGGCAGACUGCAUACCUCAGCUACAGCAGGUUUUGACUGAGUUAGAGCAAAUAAUACUGCAACAUUAGAGCGGCAGUAUUAUUAAUAGAGCAAUAAUAAUUGCAGCAUUGUCCAAACCGUGUCCUAUGAAAGCUGUGGCUUUUAUCCUUUUCACAGGCAUUACAGUUCGCAUUCUCAUCUUGAAGAUAUUAUUUGUGGAACAUCCAUACUGUAUUAUAGGGCACUUGUUUUCUGGAAAAUACAGCUUGGUCCAGAAGAAGUGAAGGACAGCCCCCACUGAAGUAUUUUUUGCUAUCCUUGUUUUGAUGUUGAUAUUAUAAUUUGUAAGAGAAUAGAAAGAAAAAUGUACAUAGAAUUAUGUCUCUUUUCUUGAGGGAUUCUUUGCUAUCAAUUCUGAUCCAAAUUUUUUUUUCUGAUCCAAAUUUUAACGUGAAUUAUAGGCUCUCUGUUGUAUAGCACAUUUACACACCCAGCUGCUUAUAUUAUCCCUGAAUGACUUGUUCUGUAUCUCCUUGGGUAAUUGCUUUCAUGCAUUUAUUACUUAUCUUUUGGGUGACAGUCACAUGUUGGAUAUUAAGGACAUACGAACAAACAACACAGACAUCUCUAUUUCUGUAACAGCCUGUAAGAAGUGCUGUGAUAAAUGAAGCACAAGUGUGAGGCAGCACCGAGGGCAGCUGCCUAACCAAGAGUUGAGGCUCUAGAACGGUGAUUAUCAACGAGUUUUCUGUGGUACACUGCUGAGCUGUGACAGGAUCAUAGGUGUGCCAUGAAAAUUUUUGAACAUCAUUAAUUAAAUUAUUUUCAAAAGAAUUUCAAGCACAGUAAAUGUAUUCUUUUCUGUUUUUGCUCUUUUUUGUUUGUUUGUUUGUUUGUUUUUGGCCAGGGAUGGGUUUGAACCCACCACCUCUGGCAUAUGGGACCGGCGCCCUACUCCUUGAGCCACAGGCGCCGCCCAGUUUUUGCUCUUUUUUUGAUCAACAUAAUUUAAGUGUGCCGUGGAAGUUUAACUACAGGUUCCAGUGUGCUGUGAGAUAAAAAAGGUUGAAAAACACUAGUCUAGGAGCUUGUCAGAAAUAUAAAUUCUCAAAUCCCAUCCAAGAUCUGCUGAGUCAGAAACUGAAGGAGUGGGGCCCAGCAAUCUGUGUUUCCUCAAGUCCUCCAGGUAAUUCUGGUCAAUGCUGAAGUUUGAGAAUUCCCAUACUAUAAGUAGCUUCCUAACCUGGAGGGACAGUGAAAAGCCAAUACACACAAAUUGAAAGAAAGAAGAUGUAGAAGGUAAACAUCCGAUGGUAAGUGGACAACACUACACACAGUGCACGAAGAUACAGAUAAGCCCUGCAAUGAAAUUACUAGAUGAUAUUCCACUCUACUUUAUAUGAAAACAUGUUAGCACAUCUUCCCUUACCCAGCAUGCCACAAAUGAACUGUGAGCAUUGUUUUACCUAUUAUUCACAUUCAUAAAAUUCAUAAGUUCCAGGGGGUUUUAUUGUUGUUGCAACUUUUGUUAUUUUUUUUUUUUUUUAGAUGGAGACUCACUCUGUUGCCCUGGGUAGAGUGAUAUGGUGUCAUAGCUCACAGCAACCUCAGACUCUUGGGUUCAAGCCAUCCUCCUGCCUCAGCCUUCUGAGUAGCUGGCACUAUUGAUGCCCACCACCUUGGGCAGCUAAUUUUUCUUUUUUUUUAUUUUUAUUUUUAUUUUUUUUGUAGAGACAGAGUCUCACUGUACCGCCCUCGGUAGAGUGCCGUGGCGUCACACGGCUCACAGCAACCUCCAACUCUUGGGCUUACGCGAUUCUCUCGCCCCAGCCUCCCAAGCAGCUGGGACUACAGGCGCCCGCCACAACGCCUGGCUAUUUUUCCGUUGCAGUUUGGCCGGGGCCGGGUUUGAACCCGCCACCCUCGGUAUAUGGGGCCGGCGCCCCACUCACUGAGCCACAGGCGUCGCCCGGGCAGCUAAUUUUUCUAUUUUUAGUAGAGAUGGGGUCUUGCUCAGGCUGGUCUUAAAUUCCUGAGCUUAAGCAAUCCUCCCAGAGUAGGAUUACAGGUGUGAGCUACCAUGCCCAGCCUAACACAGUAGGGUUUAAUAGUGUUUUGAGAUGUAAGCCAAGCAUAUGUGCCCAAAUCAGCUUCACUAAAAAUAGUUUUUCUUUUUUUUUUUCUUUUUUGAGACAGAGCCUCAAGCUGUCGCCUCUGGGUAGAGUGCUGUGGCAUCACAGCUCACAGCGACCUCCAGCUCCUGGGCUUAAGUGAUUCUCUUGCCACAGUCUCCCAAGUAGCUGGGACCACAGGCGCCUGCCACAAUGCUCGGCUAUUUUUUGGUUGUAGCUGUCAUUGUUGUUUGGCAGGCCUGGGCUGGAUUCGAACCCGCCAGCCCUGGUGUAUGUGGCUGGCACCAUGCUGAGCCCUAAAAAUAGUUUUUCAAGGAAAUUUAAUCAUGCUUAAACUCCUCAGUGUCCCAUCACCAGGCUGAUAGCUUUGUGUUGAGUAAAAAGCCUCUUGUGAUCCAACCUGUGCCCAGUUUUAUAGCAUCAGCCAUGCAAGUCAUCAACCCUUGCUUGUGAUCUUUCCAUGCUCCCUAGCCAUGGGAUGUCUUCAUUUGCAUCCCCACCACCCAUCUGUGGAAUACUUGCUAUCCUCCCAAGACUCAACACAUGUCAACUUACUAAACAUCUCUUCCCACCAAGUUGAUAUAAUUUCUCACACUUGUCACUGCUAAAACACUUCUCAGAUGGGUACAAACUGUAUGUUUGUCUCCUUCACUAGAUAGCAAACCAAGCAUGAGCCCAACCCAUAGCAGGUUCUCAAGAAAUAUUUUAAAAGAAAUAAAUGAGGUCAGGUGCAGUGGGUCACUCCUGUAAUCUUAGCACUCUACGUGGCUGAGUCGGGAGGAUCGCUUGAGCUCAGCAAUUCAAGGCCAGCCUGAGCAAGAAUGAAACCUAUCUCUACUAAAAAUAGAAAAAGUAGCUGGGCAUUGUGGCGGGUGCCUGUAGUCCCAGUUAUUCAGGAGGCGGAGGCAAGAGGAUUGCUUGAGCCCAGGAGUUUGAAGUUGCUGUGAGCUAUGAUGCCAUGGGCACUCUAGACUAGGGCAACAGAAUGGGACUGUCUCCAAAAACAAAAAACUCUAUUUACUGUAGGGGUAUCCUUUAUAAGAAAUCUCACAUGAAAAAAUCUUUUCAAUUAGGUUUGAUUCUUUGAAGUAAUUGGUGUGUUUUUACCUUUUGGAUAAUGUCCAUGUGUUAUUGAUUUAUUCCCCUUUUUUGCUAUGGUCACCAGGAAGCUCAGAGCCACAUCAGUUGUUCAAUUUAAUGCUAUCAUAGAAUUAUAUGUGUUAGUAUCUUUUCAUUAUAACUUUCUUUGUGGUCUUCAACUAUGUUUAUAUAUGGUUUUCCUAGUUCUUAUUUUUAAACUUACUUAUGUAAGUUCUUUAUGUUUUUAAAAUUUGUAUCAAAGACUAUGUAAAAUGAAAUG